This 315-nucleotide ribosomal RNA is filed under the name uncultured eukaryote. RNAcentral describes it as "partial 18S ribosomal RNA". It matches the Rfam family "Eukaryotic small subunit ribosomal RNA", at positions 1470 to 1796 of the family's 1831-position model. The record is from RNAcentral.
CCCUUAGACGUUCUGGGCCGCACGCGCGCUACACUGACCGGUGCAACAAGCAUCCGUCCUUGGCCGACAGGCCCGGGCAAUCUUUGAACGCCGGUCGUGAUGGGGAUAGACUUUUGCAAUUUUUGGUCUUCAACGAGGAAUUCCUAGUAAACGCAAGUCAUCAACUUGCAUUGAUUACGUCCCUGCCCUUUGUACACACCGCCCGUCGCACCUACCGAUUGAAUGGUCCGGUGAAGCCUCCGGAUUGGCGCGCACCUCGGUGCCGCCGAGAAGUUGGCUAAACCUUACCAUUUAGAGGAAGGUGAANUCGUAGCA